GACGAACGCUGGCGGCGUGCUUAACACAUGCAAGUCGAACGGAAAGGCCCUGCUUUUGUGGGGUGCUCGAGUGGCGAACGGGUGAGUAACACGUGAGUAACCUGCCCUUGACUUUGGGAUAACUUCAGGAAACUGGGGCUAAUACCGGAUAGGAGCUCCUGCUGCAUGGUGGGGGUUGGAAAGUUUCGGCGGUUGGGGAUGGACUCGCGGCUUAUCAGCUUGUUGGUGGGGUAGUGGCUUACCAAGGCUUUGACGGGUAGCCGGCCUGAGAGGGUGACCGGCCACAUGGGGACUGAGAGACGGCCCAGACGCCUACGGGAGGCAGCAGGGGGGAAUAUGGCACAAUGGGCGGAAGCCUGAGGCAGCAACGCCGCGUGCGGGAUGACGGCCUUCGGGGUGUAAACCGCUGUCGGCUGUGACGAAGCGUGAGUGACGGUAAUGGGUAAAGAAGCACCGGCUAACUACGUG
Molecule: ribosomal RNA, 468 nt
Filed under: uncultured bacterium
Lineage: Bacteria
Description: partial 16S ribosomal RNA
Rfam family: Bacterial small subunit ribosomal RNA
Source: RNAcentral